CUACGGGCGGCAGCAGUGAGGAAUUUUGCGCAAUGGGGGCAACCCUGACGCAGCAACGCCGCGUGAGUGAAGAAGGCCUUUGGGUCGUAAAGCUCUGUCAACUGGGAAGAAGUUACAUGUAUUUAACAGAUACAGGUAUUGACGGUACCAGUGGAGGAAGCGUCGGUUAACUCCGUGCCAGCAGCCGCGGUAACACGGGGGACGCAAGCGUUAUUCGGAAUUAUUGGGCGUAAAGGGCGCGUAGGCGGUCUUGUCGGUCAGAUGUGAAAGCCCGGGGCUCAACCCCGGACGUGCAUUUGAAACAGCAGGACUUGAGUACGGGAGAGGAAAGCGGAAUUCCUGGUGUAGAGGUGAAAUUCGUAGAUAUCAGGAGGAACACCGAUGGCGAAGGCAGCUUUCUGGACCGAUACUGACGCUGAGGCGCGAAGGCGUGGGUAGCGAACGGGAUUAGAUACCCGCGUAGUC
Molecule: ribosomal RNA, 465 nt
Filed under: uncultured bacterium
Lineage: Bacteria
Description: partial 16S ribosomal RNA
Rfam family: Bacterial small subunit ribosomal RNA
Source: RNAcentral